This 833-nucleotide ribosomal RNA is filed under the name uncultured bacterium. Its description in RNAcentral is "bacterial SSU rRNA". It matches the Rfam family "Bacterial small subunit ribosomal RNA", at positions 49 to 916 of the family's 1533-position model. The record is from RNAcentral.
UAACACAUGCAAGUCGAACGAGAAAGUGGAGCAAUCCAUGAGUACAGUGGCGUACGGGUGAGUAACACGUGGGUAAUCCANNNCUUAGUGAGGAAUAACCCUGGGAAACCGGGGCUAAUACCGCAUAAGCCUGGAAAGGGAAAGGAGCAAUUCGCUGAGAGAGGAGUCCGCGGCUGAUUAGCUAGUUGGUGAGGUAAUGGCUCACCAAGGCAAUGAUCGGUAGCCGGCCUGAGAGGGCACACGGCCACACUGGCACUGAAACACGGGCCAGACUCCUACGGGAGGCAGCAGUGGGGAAUCUUGCACAAUGGGGGCAACCCUGAUGCAGCGACGCCGCGUGAGCGAUGAAGCCCUUCGGGGUGUAAAGCUCUUUCGACGGGAACGAUAAUGACGGUACCCGGAGAAGAAGCUGCGGCUAACUACGUGCCAGCAGCCGCGGUAAUACGUAGGCAGCAAGCGUUGUUCGGAGUUACUGGGCGUAAAGAGUGCGUAGGCGGUCCUGUAAGUUUGGUGUGAAAUCUCCCGGCUCAACUGGGAGGGUGCGCCGAAGACUGCAGGGCUUGAGUAUGGGAGAGGUAAGCGGAAUUCCUGGUGUAGCGGUGAAAUGCGUAGAUAUCAGGAGGAACACCUGUGGUGUAGACAGCUUACUGGACCAUCACUGACGCUGAGGCACGAAAGCGUGGGUAGCAAACAGGAUUAGAUACCCUGGUAGUCCACGCCCUAAACGAUGCAUACUUGGUGUGAGCCAUUCAUUUGGUUCGUGCCGGAGCUAACGCGUUAAGUAUGCCGCCUGGGGAGUACGGUCGCAAGGCNAAACUCAAAUGAAUUGACGG